Molecule: non-coding RNA, 76 nt
Organism: Podarcis lilfordi (Lilford's wall lizard)
Lineage: Eukaryota; Metazoa; Chordata; Lepidosauria; Squamata; Lacertidae
Source: the annotation of a GenBank genome assembly
CUGCAUAGCUCAGUCAGUAGAGCACGAGACUCUUAAUCUCAAGGUCAUGGGUUCGAGCACUAUGUCGGGUGAAAGA